This 488-nucleotide long non-coding RNA is filed under the name Mytilus galloprovincialis (Mediterranean mussel). The record is from RNAcentral. Lineage: Eukaryota; Metazoa; Mollusca; Bivalvia; Mytilida; Mytilidae.
CAGAUAAUCAGUUGUUAGGUUGCUGCCCCUGAAUUGGUAAUUUUGAGGAAAUUUUGCUGUUUUUUUGUUAUUAUCUUGAAUAUUAUUAUAGAUAGAGAUAAACUGUUAACAGCAAUAAUGUACAGCAAAGUAAGAACUAAAAAUAAGUCAGUAUGACCAAAUAGUCAAUUGACCCCACUAAGGAGUUAUUGCCCUUCAUAGUCAAUUUUUAACAAUUUUCUUAAAAUUUGAAGAUUUUCAAUAACAUUUUCCACAGAAAGUACUGUUAUAGAUAGAGAUAAUUGUAAGCAACAAGAAUGUUUAGUAAAGUAAGAUCUACAAACACAUCAUCAUCACCAAAACACAAUUUUGUCAUGAAUCCAUCUGUGUCCAUUGUUUAAUAUUCACAUAGACCAAGGUGAGCGACACAGGCUCUUUAGAGCCUCUAGUUUUAAUAAUACACAUUUUCUCAGAAAUGAAGUCUGCAGAUGAUUUAAUGCAGUUACACU